This 1444-nucleotide ribosomal RNA is filed under the name uncultured organism. Its description in RNAcentral is "SSU rRNA". It matches the Rfam family "Bacterial small subunit ribosomal RNA". The record is from RNAcentral.
ACGCUAGCGACAGGCUUAACACAUGCAAGUCGUGGGGCAGCACAGGUAGCAAUACCGGGUGGCGACCGGCGCACGGGUGAGUAACGCGUAUGCAACUUGCCUAUCAGAGGGGGAUAACCCGGCGAAAGUCGGACUAAUACCGCAUGAAGCAGGGAUCCCGCAUGGGAAUAUUUGCUAAAGAUUCAUCGCUGAUAGAUAGGCAUGCGUUCCAUUAGGCAGUUGGCGGGGUAACGGCCCACCAAACCGACGAUGGAUAGGGGUUCUGAGAGGAAGGUCCCCCACAUUGGUACUGAGACACGGACCAAACUCCUACGGGAGGCAGCAGUGAGGAAUAUUGGUCAAUGGGCGUAAGCCUGAACCAGCCAAGUCGCGUGAGGGAUGAAGGUUCUAUGGAUCGUAAACCUCUUUUAUAAGGGAAUAAAGUGCGGGACGUGUCCCGUUUUGUAUGUACCUUAUGAAUAAGGAUCGGCUAACUCCGUGCCAGCAGCCGCGGUAAUACGGAGGAUCCGAGCGUUAUCCGGAUUUAUUGGGUUUAAAGGGUGCGUAGGCGGCCUUUUAAGUCAGCGGUGAAAGUCUGUGGCUCAACCAUAGAAUUGCCGUUGAAACUGGGGGGCUUGAGUAUGUUUGAGGCAGGCGGAAUGCGUGGUGUAGCGGUGAAAUGCAUAGAUAUCACGCAGAACCCCGAUUGCGAAGGCAGCCUGCCAAGCCAUUACUGACGCUGAUGCACGAAAGCGUGGGGAUCAAAACAGGAUUAGAUACCCUGGUAGUCCACGCAGUAAACGAUGAUCACUAGCUGUUUGCGAUACACUGUAAGCGGCACAGCGAAAGCGUUAAGUGAUCCACCUGGGGAGUACGCCGGCAACGGUGAAACUCAAAGGAAUUGACGGGGGCCCGCACAAGCGGAGGAACAUGUGGUUUAAUUCGAUGAUACGCGAGGAACCUUACCCGGGUUUGAACGCAUUCGGACCGAGGUGGAAACACCUUUUCUAGCAAUAGCCGUUUGCGAGGUGCUGCAUGGUUGUCGUCAGCUCGUGCCGUGAGGUGUCGGCUUAAGUGCCAUAACGAGCGCAACCCUUGCCACUAGUUACUAACAGGUAAAGCUGAGGACUCUGGUGGGACUGCCAGCGUAAGCUGCGAGGAAGGCGGGGAUGACGUCAAAUCAGCACGGCCCUUACAUCCGGGGCGACACACGUGUUACAAUGGCGUGGACAAAGGGAAGCCACCUGGCGACAGGGAGCGAAUCCCCAAACCACGUCUCAGUUCGGAUCGGAGUCUGCAACCCGACUCCGUGAAGCUGGAUUCGCUAGUAAUCGCGCAUCAGCCAUGGCGCGGUGAAUACGUUCCCGGGCCUUGUACACACCGCCCGUCAAGCCAUGGGAGCCGGGGGUACCUGAAGUCCGUAACCGCGAGGAUCGGCCUAGGGUAAAACUGGUGACUGGGGCUA